This is a long non-coding RNA of Panicum virgatum (switchgrass), 1239 nucleotides long. RefSeq lists it as uncharacterized. NCBI's taxonomy places the organism in Eukaryota, Viridiplantae, Streptophyta, Magnoliopsida, Poales, Poaceae. The record is from RefSeq and is a predicted model, not a curated record. The transcript has 3 exons.
UCACUCUUUCUGAUUUCCUUUCUUCAAUUUCUUCUUGCUUUUCCCCUGGGGACCUGCAAAAUUAUAUUUCAGAGGAGUUUGUAUGUUAUAUGCCUGCUCGACAAAAUGUUUCUUUUAUAUUAUGCAAUUAUUAACUAGUUCCAAUGCAAAUCUUACUUGAGGUGUUUGGGUUUUCUUUUUUUUCUUUUUUGCUUCUGCUUUUGCCAUCUUUAUCCUUUCUUGUUCCACCAGCGACAUCAGUCUCUUUGGAUUUUUUGGUCUUCCUUUCUGUUGUAUUUUAUCAGAAUCCAUUAGUACUACUAUCUAUGCACAACAUUCAAGAUUUUCAGUUCCUUCCCUGUUUCCUUGCUGUUGUACUAGAUUUUCUGCUAUUGAUGAUUCUCCAGUAUCGUUUUGUAAAAGCAGCAAGUCAAGGUGUUCAUUGAUCAUGUCAAACUGCUGGUCGAGGUAAUCCAUUGCUUCCUGUUUCUUUGCACCUUUAUUUGUCAAUAUUGCAGUUUUUCUUGAUAGCAUAUUGAACCUUAGCAAUUCAUGCGUAUCACUUGUUUCAGAUCUGAUAGGAUUAUGCAUUUUUUUUUCUUUCUUCCUCCAUCUGUUUAUGAAAUAUUUUCCAGGUAUUUCUCUUAUUUCUUCUUCAACAAUCACCUUUAGUAUGUGAACACACAAUAUUCCAUCUUUAUUGAACUUUCCAUAUAUGCAACUGAAUUCCUCUUUCCCUUGAGUAAGGUCUGUUAGAACUAUAUAUCUCCUGAUUCUUUCCCGCUUCUGAAUUUGAUUGGACUUGUACCAUACCUCAAAGUACUUGCCCUCUUCUAUUUCCUUGUAUUUAUAUUUUUCUGCCAGCUUCAACUGAUUCAUGAAUUUCAGAAAUAUAUUUCUAUUGUACAACUCCAUUGCUUGAUGUUCAAUUGUGUACCCGUAGUACAAUUCUUUUGGUUGCUUUUGUUUGGUUUGAUUAUCCUCUAUUUCUUCCUUGUUUCUGAUUCCAUCAACUAUUCUUUGAUAUUCCCGCAAGAAACUGACAAUGUUGUAUGUAGGACCUACAUUAUCUUUGAAUCUUGUAUUUGUCCCCUCACUUCUACCGGUGCUUUGGAUGAAAGGAAAGAACUCAUUCUUGAAAUAAACUGGAAAGCACACCCAAAAAGGCAUGUAUGCCCGUGACCAAUUAUGCCAACAAACGGUGCGAAAGGAAGAUUAUACUUGUUUGUCAUGGAAGUGCAGUCAGGCCUCCUCUCAAGU